UACGUAGGGUGCGAGCGUUGUCCGGAAUUAUUGGGCGUAAAGGGCUCGUAGGCGGUUUGUUGCGUCGGGAGUGAAAACAUCCAGCUUAACUGGGUGCUUGCUUUCGAUACGGGCAGACUUGAGGUAUGCAGGGGAGAAUGGAAUUCCUGGUGUAGCGGUGAAAUGCGCAGAUAUCAGGAGGAACACCGGUGGCGAAGGCGGUUCUCUGGGCAUUACCUGACGCUGAGGAGCGAAAGCAUGGGUAGCAAACAGG
This 253-nucleotide ribosomal RNA is filed under the name uncultured bacterium. Its description in RNAcentral is "partial 16S ribosomal RNA". It matches the Rfam family "Bacterial small subunit ribosomal RNA", at positions 524 to 776 of the family's 1533-position model. The record is from RNAcentral.